RNAcentral lists this ribosomal RNA (301 nucleotides) under uncultured bacterium. RNAcentral's name for it is "partial 16S ribosomal RNA". It matches the Rfam family "Bacterial small subunit ribosomal RNA", at positions 509 to 807 of the family's 1533-position model. The record is from RNAcentral.
CAGUAGCCGCGGGAAUACGAAGGGGGCUAGCGUUGUUUGGAAUUACUGGGCGUAAAGCGCACGUAGGCGGACAUUUAAGUCAGGGGUGAAAUCCCGGGGCUCAACCCCGGAACUGCCUUUGAUACUGGGUGUCUAGAGUAUGGAAGAGGUGAGUGGAAUUCCGAGUGUAGAGGUGAAAUUCGUAGAUAUUCGGAGGAACACCAGUGGCGAAGGCGGCUCACUGGUCCAUUACUGACGCUGAGGUGCGAAAGCGUGGGGAGCAAACAGGAUUAGAUACCCGCGUAGUCCCUGUCUCUUAUAC